This 1156-nucleotide ribosomal RNA is filed under the name uncultured Lactococcus sp. RNAcentral's name for it is "bacterial SSU rRNA". It matches the Rfam family "Bacterial small subunit ribosomal RNA", at positions 8 to 1152 of the family's 1533-position model. The record is from RNAcentral. Lineage: Bacteria; Bacillati; Bacillota; Bacilli; Lactobacillales; Streptococcaceae.
AGAGUUUGAUUCCUGGCUCAGGACGAACGCUGGCGGCGUGCCUAAUACAUGCAAGUUGAACGCAACAUAAACACCAGAGCUUGCUCUACCGUUUAUGUUGAGUAGCGAACGGGUGAGUAACGCGUGGGUAACCUGCCUUAUAGCGGGGGAUAACUAUUGGAAACGAUAGCUAAUACCGCAUAACAAUGUUAGAUGCAUAUUUAACAUUUGAAAGUACCAAUUGGUACACUAUGAGAUGGACCCGCGUUGUAUUAGCUAGUUGGUAGUGUAAUGGACUACCAAGGCGAUGAUACAUAGCCGACCUGAGAGGGUGAUCGGCCACAUUGGGACUGAGACACGGCCCAAACUCCUACGGGAGGCAGCAGUAGGGAAUCUUCGGCAAUGGACGAAAGUCUGACCGAGCAACGCCGCGUGAGUGAAGAAGGUUUUCGGAUCGUAAAACUCUGUUGUUAGAGAAGAACGUUGAUUAGAGUGGAAAAUUAAUCAAGUGACGGUAUCUAACCAGAAAGGGACGGCUAACUACGUGCCAGCAGCCGCGGUAAUACGUAGGUCCCGAGCGUUGUCCGGAUUUAUUGGGCGUAAAGCGAGCGCAGGUGGUUUAAUAAGUCUGAUGUAAAAGGCAGUGGCUCAACCAUUGUGUGCAUUGGAAACUGUUAGACUUGAGUGCAGUAGAGGAGAGUGGAAUUCCAUGUGUAGCGGUGAAAUGCGUAGAUAUAUGGAGGAACACCGGUGGCGAAAGCGGCUCUCUGGACUGUCACUGACACUGAGGCUCGAAAGCGUGGGUAGCAAACAGGAUUAGAUACCCUGGUAGUCCACGCCGUAAACGAUGAGUGCUAGUUGUUUGGGGCUAUCCAGCCCUAAGUGACGCAGCAAACGCAUUAAGCACUCCGCCUGGGGAGUACGACCGCAAAGGUUGAAACUCAAAGGAAUUUGACGGGGGCCCGCACAAGCGGUGGAGCAUGUGGUUUAAUUCGAAGCAACGCGAAGAACCUUACCAGGUCUGACAUACUCGUGCUAUUCCUAGAGAAUAGAGUCUUCGGGACACGGAAUAACAGUGUGCAUGAUGUCGUCAGCUCGUGUCGUGAGAUUGUUGGGGCUAGGUCCCGCAACGAGCGCAUCCUAUGUAGUGCAUCAUUAUGUGGCCACUUCUUACGGG